Peromyscus californicus insignis is the source of this 112-nucleotide small nuclear RNA. The record is from RefSeq and is a predicted model, not a curated record. Lineage: Eukaryota; Metazoa; Chordata; Mammalia; Rodentia; Cricetidae.
AUGUGCUGGCUUUGGCAGCACAUAUACGAAAAGAUUGGAACGAUACAGAGAAGAUUAGCAUGGAUCCUGUUCAAGAAUGCAACAAAAAUUCAUAAGAGUGUUCCAUAUUAAA